RNAcentral lists this ribosomal RNA (491 nucleotides) under uncultured bacterium. RNAcentral describes it as "bacterial SSU rRNA". It matches the Rfam family "Bacterial small subunit ribosomal RNA", at positions 30 to 516 of the family's 1533-position model. The record is from RNAcentral.
AUUGAACGCUGGCGGAAUGCUUUACACAUGCAAGUCGAACGGCAGCACGGGGCAACCUGGUGGCGAGUGGCGAACGGGUGAGUAAUACAUCGGAACGUGCCCAAUCGUGGGGGAUAACGUAGCGAAAGCUACGCUAAUACCGCAUACGAUCUACGGAUGAAAGCGGGGGAUCGCAAGACCUCGCGCGAAUGGAGCGGCCGAUGGCAGAUUAGGUAGUUGGUGGGGUAAAGGCUCACCAAGCCUGCGAUCUGCAGCUGGUCUGAGAGGACGACCAGCCACACUGGAACUGAGACACGGUCCAGACUCCUACGGGAGGCAGCAGUGGGGAAUUUUGGACAAUGGGCGCAAGCCUGAUCCAGCCAUUCCGCGUGCAGGAUGAAGGCCCUCGGGUUGUAAACUGCUUUUGUACGGAACGAAAAGGCUUUCUCUAAUACAGGGAGCUCAUGACGGUACCGUAAGAAUAAGCACCGGCUAACUACGUGCCAGCAGCC